GACGAACGCUGGCGGCGUGCUUAACACAUGCAAGUCGAACGGACAGGCCCUGCUUUUGUGGGGUGCUCGAGUGGCGAACGGGUGAGUAACACGUGAGUAACCUGCCCUUGACUUUGGGAUAACUUCAGGAAACUGGGGCUAAUACCGGAUAGGAGCUCCUGCUGCAUGGUGGGCGUUGGAAAGUUUCGGCGGUUCGGUAUGGACUCGCGGCUUAUCAGCUUGUUGGUGGGGUAGUGGCUUACCAAGGCUUUGACGGGUAGUCGGCCUGAGAGGGUGAACGGGGACCAUGGGACUGAGAUACGGCCCAGACUCGUACGGGAGGCAGCGGUGGGGAGUAUGGUACAAUGGGCGGGAGCGUGAGGCAACAGCGUUGCGUGCGGGAUGACGUCUUUCGGGUUGUAAACCGCUGUCGCCUGAGACGAAGAGUGAGUGACGGUAAUGGGUAAAGAAGCAACGGCUAACUACGUG
This 468-nucleotide ribosomal RNA is filed under the name uncultured bacterium. RNAcentral describes it as "partial 16S ribosomal RNA". It matches the Rfam family "Bacterial small subunit ribosomal RNA", at positions 28 to 507 of the family's 1533-position model. The record is from RNAcentral.